AUUGAACGCUGGCGGCAGGCCUAACACAUGCAAGUCGAGCGGAUGAAGGGAGCUUGCUCCUGGAUUCAGCGGCGGACGGGUGAGUAAUGCCUAGGAAUCUGCCUGGUUGUGGGGGAUAACGUCCGGAAACGGGCGCUAAUACCGCAUACGUCCUGAGGGUGAAAGUGGGGGAGCUUCGGACCUCAUGCUAUCAGAUGAGCCUAGGUCGGAUUAGCUAGUUGGUGGGGUAAAGGCCUACCAAGGCGACGAUCCGUAACUGGUCUGAGAGGAUGAUCAGUCACACUGGAACUGAGACACGGUCCAGACUACUACGGGAGGCAGCAGUGGGGAAUAUUGGACAAUGGGCGAAAGCCUGAUCCAGCCAUGCCGCGUGUGUGAAGAAGGUCUUCGGAUUGUAAAGCACUUUAAGUUGGGAGGAAGGGCAGUAAGUUAAUACCUUGCUGUUUUGACGGUACCAACAGAAUAAGCACCGGCUAACUUCGUG
RNAcentral lists this ribosomal RNA (484 nucleotides) under uncultured bacterium. Its description in RNAcentral is "partial 16S ribosomal RNA". It matches the Rfam family "Bacterial small subunit ribosomal RNA", at positions 30 to 507 of the family's 1533-position model. The record is from RNAcentral.